Small nucleolar RNA from Pan troglodytes (chimpanzee), 103 nucleotides. It matches the Rfam family "Small nucleolar RNA U13". The record is from Rfam. Lineage: Eukaryota; Metazoa; Chordata; Mammalia; Primates; Hominidae.
AUCCUUCUAUAUAGUUCAUAAGCUUGAUGAUCGGUGUUCACACACAUGUGAGAUACGCCACCUGUGAACCUUGUUAGGACAUCAGCACAUUACCCAUCUGACA